Molecule: ribosomal RNA, 253 nt
Filed under: uncultured bacterium
Lineage: Bacteria
Description: partial 16S ribosomal RNA
Rfam family: Bacterial small subunit ribosomal RNA
Source: RNAcentral
UACGGAGGGGACUAGCGUUGUUCGGAAUUACUGGGCGUAAAGCGCACGUAGGCGGAUUUGUAAGUCAGGGGUGAAAUCCCGAGGCUCAACCUCGGAACUGCCUUUGAUACUGGGGAUCUCGAGUCCGGGAGAGGUGAGUGGAACUGCGAGUGUAGAGGUGAAAUUCGUAGAUAUUCGCAAGAACACCAGUGGCGAAGGCGGCUCACUGGCCCGGAACUGACGCUGAGGUGCGAAAGCGUGGGGAGCAAACAGG